UUUACAGAAACCUGGCCAAAAUCGGAGGCCCCCGGUUGGGGGCAGAGACUAGAGAAGUAGGCAGAGUGGCUCAGAGGGCACGAGACUGACUGGGGCCUGGGAUUGAUGGAACCGUGGGAGGAAAGGGUUAAUGGGCUACUGGUGUCAGGUUGGGGAUUGGGGGGGGUGCUCAGGCGGAGGUGCCUGGCAGACAUUCCCUGAGGUCACAUGGGAGAAAUUUCCAGGAAGAUACUUAAGGCCUUCAGAGUGAGUUCCCUUAAGUGAGUACCUCUGCCGAGACCUGUCCUGGGGUAGUGACAGCAGAUGGCUGGAGCCCAGCUGGGGGGUGCCCAGGCCCCAGAGGGAGAAGUGUGGGCUCACCAGGACCUCCCCACAUCAGCCUCCUCUGUCAUCCAUGGAAGAGUCCCUGCCAGUCCAAGGCCGAGGCUGUUUCCUGCCCAUUCACUCCACUGGGCCCCCUCCGCCCUCCAGCAAGUGCCCUACGGAGCCAUGUUGGACGGGGAGGAAUGGAUUCCCGCCCCAGACCCCUGUGGAUCCAGAAGACCAGGACAGAGACCGAGGGGAGCACCUGCAGCGCGUGAGAGCCAGAGGGGGCCUUGGGAUCACCCGGUGCCGCCCUUGAUUCACGGAGGAAGGAAGGCGAGGCCGAGAAAGCAGGAAGGGACUCCGUUAACUGAUGGCAAUUUCGAGCCAGGGCCUCCUUUCUGUGUGAAGAGGGGAAGUGGUGGGAGCAGCCACCGUGGAUAAAUAUGAAAUGCUUCCCCCUGGAGCUCAGAGCCCUCUCGGCCGGCUGUUCUGCCUCCUUGAGGGCGAGAGUGUUCAUACCAUUCCUCUACUGGAGACCCCUUACCAGGCUUCUAGGUGCUUCUCAGACCCAGCCCAGCAGACGCCUCCUCCUUGGCUGGGUCCUGGCCUCUCCCCGGCUUGAGCAGUGCCCAGAGAGAAGUGCCGGGAUG
Felis catus (domestic cat) is the source of this 956-nucleotide long non-coding RNA. RefSeq lists it as uncharacterized. NCBI's taxonomy places the organism in Eukaryota, Metazoa, Chordata, Mammalia, Carnivora, Felidae. The transcript has 3 exons. The record is from RefSeq and is a predicted model, not a curated record.